CAGAGACACAUUAGUUUCCAUAAAUCUGCUUUAAGGAAUAUCAUGCUCCACUGGAUGCUUGAUGACAUGGGAAAUGGGUGGUAAUGCAAGUUCUUGUCUGUGAAAGCUGGACCAGCUCUAGCAGAAUGACAGGGCAUGAUAGCCGGUCCUCACAAUUCUGUGGAGCAUCCUGCACCUCUGAGGUUUCCAGGUUUGCCACCAGGUCACAGAAAUCAAUUACUCUCACAGCAUUUUUUAAGGGUAUGCAUGCAAGGUGGUUAUGCAUUAUUGGACAGCAAGAAAGAAGAGGAUAUGCAGUCAUUUCACAGGAUUUCCUAUUCAUAUAUUCAUCUGAAAAUUGCUCUUGAAAUAUGUGCCAUUUUGUUUGGAACAAACUGAAUAUAGUUGUUCAUUCUCCAGGCAUGACUGCCAUGAAGGAAAGAAUUACAAUCAGGUAUUAAUCAAGCUAUUAUUACAGGCUGCAGGGAUUUUGUACCUUCAUAGGCAGAGAGCCAGACAAGAUCACUAUGUGCAUUCAUUUCUUCAGAAAAUAACUGUUAUUUGUACAGUGCCUGUCAUCUUCACCUUAUAUCACCAUAACUGCCAUUCAGUUAUGAAUAUUCACUUUCAAUGACAAUUUUCAGGAAAACUCAUGUAUAUUUACUUACUGUAAGCCAAUCAUUCCUUUCUAAAACUAAUAAAAUGCCAACAGCCUACAACAAGUCUCAGAAUAUUGUGACUGCACAGUUCCUUGCCACUGUUGUCAAAGGUUUUGGGAGUUUCCAAGGAUAAACUAAGGGCAGCAGAAGCAACGGGGAGUCCAAGCAAUUCACUUAGCUCCCUUCCUAUUUUAUUUGCUUCAAAAGAAACAUGUACAGAGCUGUGUCUGCAUUAACUCAGUGCUGCUGCACCAGACUUACGCUGAUGACCUUGUAAAUGGAUUCCUAUAAGAUUUUAUCAAUAGUAUAAGAGACUUUUCUAUUUAUUCUCUCAUGCAGUAUCAAAAUGAAGGCACACAUAUGCACACACAUACACAGAGAAGUCAAACAGUGAUAAAAAAGACACACCGAUGUAUGAUAACUUCUUUAUUAGCAGGCUUAAAAUCUUUGCUAAUACUAAAAAAGCAAGAAGAAAAA
Long non-coding RNA from Cygnus olor (mute swan), 1115 nucleotides. RefSeq lists it as uncharacterized. The record is from RefSeq and is a predicted model, not a curated record. The transcript has 3 exons. Lineage: Eukaryota; Metazoa; Chordata; Aves; Anseriformes; Anatidae.